UAAUAAGUGUUUUAUGGCACUUUUAAAUCCAUAUCCACCUUGUGUGCAAUGUCGGUCGAUCUUCUUUUUUUGAGGAUCGACCAAACAUCAACCUUUAUCUUUUAACUCUUUGUCUGAAAAAUAUUAUGAAUAAACAAUUCAAAAUA
Molecule: unclassified non-coding RNA, 146 nt
Filed under: soil metagenome
Description: partial internal transcribed spacer 1
Source: RNAcentral